Saccostrea cuccullata (small rock oyster) is the source of this 350-nucleotide long non-coding RNA. RefSeq lists it as uncharacterized. Lineage: Eukaryota; Metazoa; Mollusca; Bivalvia; Ostreida; Ostreidae. The transcript has 3 exons. The record is from RefSeq and is a predicted model, not a curated record.
UUCAUCCCCUCGAUUCCUGGAAUCGCAAAACCUCAACUCGGAGGCAGGUUUAUCAUCACUAGGGCAAGAGUCCACUUUGCCGAGGGUGUAUCCCCCAACUUCAUCCCCUCGAUUCCAGUCUCAAAACCUCAACUCGGAGGCAGGUUUAUCAUCACUAGGGCAAGAGUCCACUUUGCUGAGGGUGUAUCCCCCAACUUCAUCCCCUCGAUUCCAGUCUCAAAACCUCAACUCGGAGGUAUGUGAACCUUAGUUUGUAGGGGGCUUUGUUGCCGAUAUCUUGAGCUUCAGUCUGAUCAUUUUGUUCAUUUACUGAUGUUUUAGCUUGGUUGUUUUCAAUCAGGAAAUCAUAG